Small nuclear RNA from Gorilla gorilla gorilla (western lowland gorilla), 107 nucleotides. Lineage: Eukaryota; Metazoa; Chordata; Mammalia; Primates; Hominidae. The record is from Ensembl.
GUGCUCACUUUGGCAGCACGUACACUAAAACUGGAACAAUGCAGAGGAGAUUAGCAUGCCCCCUGCGUAAGGAUGACACGCAAAUCUGUGAAGCUUUCCAUUUUUUU